GCCAGGCGUGGUGGCACAUGCCUGUAGUCCCAGCUACUUGGGAGGCUGAGGCAGGAGAAUUGCUUGAGCCCGGGAGGCGGAGGUUGCAGUGAGCCGAGAUCACGCCACUGCACUCCAGCCUGGGCAACAGAGCAAGACUCUGUCUCAA
This 148-nucleotide non-coding RNA is filed under the name Nomascus leucogenys (northern white-cheeked gibbon). Lineage: Eukaryota; Metazoa; Chordata; Mammalia; Primates; Hylobatidae. The record is from Rfam by way of RNAcentral.